AAUCAUUGGUUAUUAAAGAUCAUUCUCCCUCAGGGAAUCUCUGUUUCGAUCAUCAUCUGAGCUACUCGAUCUGCUCCAUCGACUUCUUCUGAUCUCUGUUAAUCUUCUGCUACAGAUCACAACUUCAGUUGCUCAAACUCAAUCACCGAUCACAGUAUUGUUUAUUUUAUCAUACUACGUAUAUAUUAUCUUGCAUCAUAACUUAAAUAUCCAUUAUAUCUCAUAUCUGCUUCAGAUUAGUUCUAGUUAAGCAGGUGUUUCUUAUAUAGCUUAUAUACAUCAAUAACAUUAAUCACUAUCAUUUUCACAUAAUUAACCUUUAGUUGUAUCACCUGCACUCUCUGUUAUUAUCCGCUGCAACAUAUAUAUAAUCCAACCAUUUAUUGUCAAUAUAUAAAUAUCUUUGUAAUCAUAUUUAUAUCAAAACUUAACAAUUAUCUUAUUAUUAUUUCGGCUAUUGUGUCUGUGUCUCUAAACAGGUGGACACGGUCGUCUUGGUUGAUUUUGAAUAAAAUUAAUUGAUGGUGUGUGGGCUCGCGUUAAAGUGCUCACACACACAACUCUCUAGUUUUACUAUCUCUUUAAUUAUCGACCCUCUCCCUUAUUGCACUUGGGGUGGUAUUUAUAACCUAUUUCCUUAGACCUGCUGGACCCGACAUUAAUCUUUUGACGUGCUUGCUCUCGGAUAUCGUGGUGUUUUUUUGGUUCAUCUACCGAGUCAUCACAUGUAAUAACCGGUUAUUGGGUAUUAAUUGGAAAUAACCCAAUUAAGGGUAAAACUGUAAAUGACUAGGAUGAUUAAAAUAUAAAUUAAAAGGAUAGAAAGGGAGAAAAGGAAACGGAGGAGUGAAACAGAAAGUGAAGAGGGGAAAACGGAAGGAGGAGGGGGAAGAAGGAGGACGGCUAGGAGGGGGAGCAUCGUGGUUGAGAUCUGUAAGGGGGCACCGGUGUCGUGGUGUGGGAGGUGUGAAGCUCGACAAGUCGCGGAAGAGGUAUGUAGAGUGUUAGAUUCUAAUUUGGGUAAAGGGUAUGGGUGAUGGGUACGGUAGAGGAUGAAGGGGAGAAGAUCGGAAAUAGAUCCGAUCUUGAUAAACCUACUCAAGGAUGAUAAUGUAGUAUAAGGACAGCGGGGUACUCAAAUCACUUGAGUCACUCGAUCCAAGGGUUUACCAACUUUUGGUUAUGUUGACCACUUGAUCUUGGUUGGGAUGGUUACCUUAAGUGGUGGUUGAUUAUAUUGUAAUUACUACCCAUUUUAAUUGCUGCUUAGAGUUAUGGUAGAAUGUAACUCUUGCAGUCUAUUUUAUUGGGGAUCUAUUGUGUGAUUGGUUGAUUUAAGUGAUGAAGGAUUGCUACCUCUACGCUGUGAAUGUCUAUAUUGUAUUUACUGCCAUUUUAAAAUUGUUGUUUAGUGUUUUACCAUCUGUAAUUCUUGCUGUCCAUUUUAUCGGGGGUCUUUUCUCUUAUCGUUUUGCUCUAGGUGAGGAAAAGUACUACCGGAAGACAUGUUAGAUUAGCAUAAGAGCUAAUCUAUUGUUUUUCUUUGCUGUCCAUUGUGAUUUCAGUAGUAUCCUCUUGCUGUCCAUUUUAUUUGAGGUCUUUUCUCUUAUCGUUUUGCUCUAGGUGAGGAAAAGUAUUACCGGAAGACAUGUUAGAUUAGCAUAAGAGCUAAUCUAUUGUUUGUUUUUGCUGUCUAUUGUGAUUUCAGUAGUAUCUUCUUGCUGUCCAUUUUAUUAGGGGUCUAUUCUCUUAUUGUUUUGCUCUAGGUGAUGAAAAACACUACCGGAAUGCAUGUUAGAUUAACAUAGGAGCUAAUCUAUUUCUUUUUAUUGUUGUAUAUAGUGAUUUCCGUAGUAUCUUGUUGCUGUCCAAUCUUAUUGGGGUGCCUAUUAAAUUAUUGUUUGUUUUAAGUGAUGAAAACACUAAGGGAAUGCAUGUUGGGAUGGCAUAGGAGCUAAUUAUAGUGUGGGGUGGUUCCAUUAUAUAUUUUAUUGCGAAAUUUAGAUGAAAAGGAUGAUAUGGGGGUGCAUAGUUGGUUGACACAUAUGUUAAAUAUCAUGUGGGCUGUUUUGGGGUAAUUAUGCUACUAUUUUUAGAUGAUGCCAAAUUGUAGCAAACAGGAUAUUUAUCAUGUGAGUGGGUUGUAGUAUUUAUGUUGCUGUUUUUAAUGACGAAAAUGCUAUCGGGUACAUGUUUGAAUUGCAUAUAAGAUAAUUAUCACGUGGGCUGGUUUGAUUAAUUAUUUUUGUUUUAAAUAAUGAACAUGUUAUCGGGGCCAUGUGUUAGUAAUUAAGAUAAUUAUCUUGUGGGUUGUUUCGAAUACUUGUUGUUGUUUUAAAAUGAUAAUAGUAUUAGAGGGGAAAUAUACAUGAAUGGACAAGAGAAUAAGAAUAGCAUUGUAUGUAUGAAUGAGAUUCAUCAAUGAAUGAAAGUAUGAAUGAAAUAUGACAGGGGUGUUAUGACGCCUAACGAAUGACGAGUGAUGAUCCAUUAGGGGCAUGAAUGAUGAUUGAUUGGUAUCAUCAGAUUGAAUAUUAUAUAUACAUGUAUUAUGUUAAUUGCUAUUGUUAUUACUUGUUGGAACCUAUACUUUACAUGCUGAGUAAUGUAGUCACUCACGGAUACAUGACCUGUGCAGGGAAUGGAGGCAACUUUGCCUAACUGGAGGGGUAGGAGACAAAGGACUCGUCGAGGUGUCGGCGUAGGGGGUGACGCGAAGUAGUCGUGUCAUUGACUAUUUUUUGUUGUAAUAAGGAUCGUAUUAGGUCCCCGAACACAAAGUAGUUGUAGUAUUGUAUUAGUUGUAGAUUCUAUUUUGUCAUCAUGUGAACUUUCCUUCGAGAGGAAUCUAUGUUAAUCGUUUGAUGAAAAUUAAAACCAAUGUGCAGAGCAGGGUUUUACAUCACCUAUCUAAGAUCAUACACAAUUCGAUUAACCCAUGUUGGUUACACACACUAUUAAUGUGGCUUAAAGUUUAAAAUUUGAGUUUU
Molecule: long non-coding RNA, 2990 nt
Filed under: Zostera marina
Lineage: Eukaryota; Viridiplantae; Streptophyta; Magnoliopsida; Alismatales; Zosteraceae
Description: long non-coding RNA (ZMAR_LNC001780)
Source: RNAcentral